AUACGAAAGGGGCUAGCGUUGUUCGGAAUUACUGGGCGUAAAGCGCGCGUAGGCGGAUUGGUCAGUUAGGGGUGAAAUCCCAGGGCUUAACCCUGGAACUGCCUCUAAUACUGCCAGUCUUGAGUUCGGGAGAGGUGAGUGGAAUUCCUAGUGUAGAGGUGAAAUUCGUAGAUAUUAGGAAGAACACCAGUGGCGAAGGCGGCUCACUGGCCCGAUACUGACGCUGAGGCGCGAAAGCGUGGGGAGCAAACAGGAUUAGAAACCCCAGUAGUCC
RNAcentral lists this ribosomal RNA (274 nucleotides) under uncultured bacterium. Its description in RNAcentral is "partial 16S ribosomal RNA". It matches the Rfam family "Bacterial small subunit ribosomal RNA", at positions 523 to 796 of the family's 1533-position model. The record is from RNAcentral.